GUUUAGAUCGUGCGCCGCCAUUACUGCAUAACGUCAUGUCAACCGUGCGUGUGUAGUCAAGACUCAAAAUUGUUCAACCCUUAUUAAUUGUAUUAUAUUGAUUGAUUUCGUCUUUAAAACAUUUUUUAAUUUAGUUGACACGGUGCUAUAGACUAUUCACAACAAGUUUUAACGAUAAGUAUAUUACAAUGUCCGAAACUGAAGAUCAACAGCAAAAGGCUGCGAAGACGAGCAAACAGCACAACGUACUACCAAUAUGGGGUAGUCAGGAAACCAUGAAUUUGAACCAUUUAAUAUUAGCUAAUAUUCAGGGUUCGAGUUACUUCAAAGUUCACUUGUUCAAGCUGAAGACCUACCAUGAGGUGGUGGACGAGAUCUACUACCAAGUGAAGCACCUGGAGCCCUGGGAGCGGGGCAGCAGGAAGACCGCUGGCCAGACGGGCAUGUGCGGCGGUGUUCGCGGCGUGGGCGCCGGCGGCAUCGUCUCAACCGCCUUCUGUCUCCUAUACAAGCUGUACACCCUGCGUCUCACCAGGAAGCAGGUCAACGGGCUGCUGCAGCAUACAGACUCACCGUAUAUUAGAGCGCUGGGCUUCAUGUACAUCCGCUACACGCAACCCCCGGCCGACCUAUUCGACUGGUUCGCCGAGUACCUUGACGACGAGGAGGAGAUUGACCCUCGCGCCGGCGGUGGCGGUACCACGACCAUAGGGGCCCUGGUCAGACAAAUGUUGAUCAAACUUGACUGGUUUAACACGCUUUUCCCGAGGAUACCAGUGUCUAUACAGAAGCAGAUGGAGCUCAAGUAAGUUUAUGUUCUUUCAAGGUCGGUACCACGACCAUAGGGGCCCUGGUCAGACAAAUGUUGAUCAAACUUGACUGGUUUAACACGCUUUUCCCGAGGAUACCAGUGUCUAUACAGAAGCAGAUGGAGCUCAAGUAAGUUUAUGUUCUUUCAAGGUCGGUACCACGACCAUAGGGGCCCUGGUCAGACAGAUGCUGAUCAAACUUGACUGGUUUAACACGCUUUUCCCGAGGAUACCAGUGUCUAUACAGAAGCAGAUGGAGCUCAAGUUAGGAGAACACAACAGGAACACAGCGCCAGCCAAGCCGGUGGCGCGGGCCUACAACCCGGGCAGGGCGGAGCCCGACCGGCGCGACCACGACGACCGCGACCGCCGGGAUUACGGCGACGACAGAUCAAAAGAGAGACAACGAGAGCCUCCAAAGCGCGACGACAGAUCGCGAGAACACGACCGCACGCGCGACCGCGAUCGGGAGCGGGACCGUGACCGCGACCGCGACCGGCGCGACCGCGACAGGGAGCGCGACCGCCGCGACAGGGACCGGGACCGCAGAGACCGUGACCGCCACAGGUCGCGGUCGCGCGACCGCAGAUAUAGAUAACGUGUAAAGAAUAAAGAGUAAUUGAUAAUGUUUUA
Cydia strobilella is the source of this 1442-nucleotide RNA transcript. It is a transcript of the gene named pre-mRNA-splicing factor 38B-like, with no coding region annotated. The record is from RefSeq and is a predicted model, not a curated record. Lineage: Eukaryota; Metazoa; Arthropoda; Insecta; Lepidoptera; Tortricidae. The transcript has 7 exons.